AUGCAACGUCAUUCGCAGAAAUUAAUUCCCCAAUGCUUCUCAUUGAUGACUCCAGUACACCGGAAAAAAAAAGAAUCAUUCUCUCAAGAGGGUUCUUUGUAUAAACCCCAGUGUGACGAGGAAUUGAAGCCAAAAGUAGGGAUGAUAUUUGAUGACAUUGCCUUGGUGCUGGAAUUUUACAGGACAUAUGCACACAAUGUCGAAUUUGGUGUGCGUCUUGGACAACAGAGGGUCGUAGAUAAUGUGCUUCAAUGGAAACGAUUCCUGUGUGCAAAAGAAGGCUUCCGUCCCGAGAAAGGUAUGGUUGUUGUUGAGGCUUCAAAGAAAAGGAGAAAGGUUAAAUUGACUAGAUGUGGAUGUGAAGCUUAUAUAUGUCACUCGAGAAAGUAA
Molecule: ribosomal RNA, 390 nt
Filed under: Triticum aestivum (bread wheat)
Lineage: Eukaryota; Viridiplantae; Streptophyta; Magnoliopsida; Poales; Poaceae
Description: partial small subunit ribosomal RNA
Source: RNAcentral